UGACAUUUGACAGCUUUAUUUGAAGUGAAACUAAGAUUCAGAACUGUAUCAAAUCCAGACAGAUGCAAAUAGUUACAGGUGGCCAAAUCCAACAAUCAUUCAUAGUACAAUACUCCUUACGAUGCAGUUCAACUGCUAUACAAGCAGGUACAGUAGAGAGCUGAAUAGGUACAACACCAGCUACAGCUUAUCCGGAAGGGGAAUUUGGCAUGCAUCUGGUGCGUCGUUGGGUGAUACUCCUGAGCGUAAACCACGAGGGCCCGCUGAAGUAAGCUUCAGAUACGAAGUAUCAUGGCGUAUAUGUACAAAAAAUCCAUGUGCAAGAUCUAAUACCCAUUACAUAAAUGCUACCGUACUCUUGCAGCCCAUGUAGCGCCGGUAAUCGUGAUGCAGAAUCUGUUGGCAGUAUCCAGUAACAGUCCAUCAGAGUUCAGAUGACAAGCCGGUGGACAUUGCGGCUCUGCUGGUGAGCGCGGGCCUCAUUGUCACCAGAGCAGAUUCGUUUGCACCAGCCCUAAGAGCGAUCCUUCCAGCCUCCAGGAAUCUGGAGACAGCAUCCUCUGCGUAGCGGUUUGCUUCGCCUACACUCAUCGUCUUGCCAAUAUCCGGAUAGCUGUUGAGCACGUGGUCACCAUUGAGCUGAGAGGCAAGUUGAAUCAACUCCACUUGAAACUCCGAUAGAGAUUUAUCUUCAUUAGCAC
RNAcentral lists this long non-coding RNA (701 nucleotides) under Triticum aestivum (bread wheat). RNAcentral describes it as "long non-coding RNA (TAES_LNC009393)". The record is from RNAcentral. Lineage: Eukaryota; Viridiplantae; Streptophyta; Magnoliopsida; Poales; Poaceae.